AUUGAACGCUGGCGGCAGGCCUAACACAUGCAAGUCGAGCGAGCGGCGGACGGGGGAGUAAUGUAUGGGGACUGCCCGAUAGAGGGGGAUAACUACUGGAAACGGUAGCUAAUACCGCAUCCUAUCGGAUAACCCAUAUGGGAUUAGCUAGUAGGUGGGGUAAUGGCUCACCUAGGCGACGAUCCGUCGCUGGUCUGAGAGGAUGAUCAGCAAAACUGGGACGGGAAAACGGCCCAGACUCCACCGGAGGAAGAAGUGGGGAAUAUUGGACAAGGGGGGAAAUCCGGAUGAAGCAAUGCGGCGGGUAUGAAGAAGGCCCUAGGGUUGUAAAGUACGUUCAGCGGGGAGGCGGUACCGAAAGAAGAAGCACCGGCUAACUCCGUGCCAGCAGCCGCGGUAAUAC
RNAcentral lists this ribosomal RNA (403 nucleotides) under uncultured bacterium. RNAcentral's name for it is "partial 16S ribosomal RNA". It matches the Rfam family "Bacterial small subunit ribosomal RNA", at positions 29 to 526 of the family's 1533-position model. The record is from RNAcentral.